This 200-nucleotide ribosomal RNA is filed under the name uncultured bacterium. Its description in RNAcentral is "partial 16S ribosomal RNA". It matches the Rfam family "Bacterial small subunit ribosomal RNA", at positions 8 to 228 of the family's 1533-position model. The record is from RNAcentral.
AGAGUUUGAUCAUGGCUCAGAGCGAACGCUGGCGGCAUGCUUAACACAUGCAAGUCGCACGGGCAGGGGCAACUCUGUCAGUGGCGGACGGGUGAGUAACGCGUAGGGAUCUGUCUCUGGGUGGGGGACAACCGUGGGAAACUACGGCUAAUACCGCAUGACACCUGCGGGUCAAAGCUCGCGAGAGCGCCUGGAGAGGA